This 1993-nucleotide long non-coding RNA is filed under the name Homo sapiens (human). RNAcentral's name for it is "HSALNT0322624". The record is from RNAcentral. Lineage: Eukaryota; Metazoa; Chordata; Mammalia; Primates; Hominidae.
UAAGCCUUGAUGAACAGGGGUGAUGGAAGAUAUUUCUGACGGCCUAUAGGCAACUCAGAGGCAUUUUCUUUCUUCUAGAAUCUUCCCUGUUUAGUGGAAAUUGGAUGCCUGGAAACAAAAUUUUCAGAAUCCUGGCCAGCAGAAUUCUGGGUUAGAUUCUAUCAAUGAGAGGCAUCUGUAUGUUAUUUGAAAGACUAAAGACUGCUUCAGCAGCGGUGGAUGGAUUCAUGAGGAGCAAACUGAGAGAGGCCUUUUUGUAGAGGUCUCUGGGCAUUUACUUGAAUAUCACCCACCAUGGAGCAAGAAGACCUAUGUUCAUUGCCAGCUAUAUCCUGCAAUGCUUGUAACCUUUGAAGUUUCUGAAAGACACUGGUGACCCUGAGAGUUAGUGCUGGCUUUUUCUGACCUUCAUUCCACCAGUCUUUCCACUGAUUUUGUAAUCAUCGAAGUUACUGGAUGUAACAUCCUAUUGCUUGAAACAGGUUAUUUCCUUCCAAUCCCAUCCCAAAUGGAGGUUGCAGCAGGGUAGAGUUUUUGGACAAUCUUGUUUACUGCUGCAUCCCCAGUGUCAAGAAGGCUGCCUGAACAUAGAAAGUCUUCAAUAUAUAUUUGCUGAAAUAAAAGUAAAAAUUCAGUCUGGUGUCUCCAUAAUCACAGCCAUGGCCUUGUAAACAGGUAGUGAUGCGGACAGAGCCAUCUGUGCUGCGCUGCAGACCCACACAGAGGUCUACUGGAAGGGAGGAGCCCGAGGCGAGUCCACUGAAUGUGGGCACUUCCCAUUAUUUUUGGUAAGAAAACAACUGAAGAGAUGCCAUCUACUUCUUAGGCCAUUGUACCCAGAGCUGCAUGAUAUCAGAUUGUUCUAAUACUGGUGAUGUCAGGAUUCUCCACUGUAAAUCUACUUUUUUGGUAAUUAAUCAAUAUCUGUAAAAAGAUAUUAUGUGAAUACAUAAAAAUAUUGUUUCAUAGCAAGAUUUUACUUCCAGUUUUAGCAUCCACUGAUGAUUUUUACAGUCCAUCUUUCUUUCUGCAUUUAUUAGUUGUUAUUAUACUAUAAGGGAGAGAUUUUCCUUUUAUUUAUUUACUCAUAUCAGAAUGAAAUCAUGUAUUAUUUUAUUCAGUGGAUUAUAAUCCAUUACCAUUAUUAGUUUGCUGCUCAGAUUGUCCUAGAUUUGGCCAAUGGGCUUUUCUUUAGGCUGGCUCCUGUGACUUUUUGAUGUGGUCCUUUGAUUCUGUCAACAUUUCCUGACUUUCUGGGUAAACAAGAUGUUCCAAGCUCAUCUUGUACUUUCUCUAAAGCAGCCCUGAAAUCAGCCAUUUCUGCAGAGGAUCUCUGGAUCGUUUUAGUAAGAAAUGGCAUUUAGAAAGCAAAAACUUGGCAUGAGAUUUCUCAUUGCUACUAUGAGUCAUUGUUUUUAGGCCUUCUCAGUAGGCAGAGACAGGGUAAAUGUGUGCACUAUAUAUGUAUAAAUCUGUGAGGUCUUUAAUAUCUUAGACACAGAUCAAUUAGAGCAAAUCCUUCUCUAUUCUGAGGAUAACCCUUAAGAUGGUGGUCCUGGAGACUCAGGUAACUGAGUGCUAGUUCUUGGAUACUUUAUAGUUCUUGGAGGAUCCCUUAUUAAUCAUAUAGACACACAAAGUUUAUUUGACUUAAGUAACCAACAAAUAUUAAUUGAGAAAUUACUAUGUCCUUCCCUCCCAGAUUUAGUAUUAUUUAAAAAAAAUCACCUAGUGAUUUCAGAAUGCACAGAGACGUACUGUAGGAAACACAUUCACACAAUUCCAAGAAUAUGGUUGAAGUUACCAGAGUAAAUAAUUUAUAUCGUAUCUUUGAAGAAAACUCUCAAGCAUAAUAUGAGAUAUAAAAGUUUGGCUUAAAAAUCAAAAGAAUUUGUUAAAAUUAUUUCUGCUUCUAGUUUUAGUUCUUGAUUUAAAAAACAAUGCACUAUAACAUUUUGUUGUCUGAUUAUAUAACUAUAUAAAAAUUAAUUCU